AGUGAACGCUGGCGGCAGGCCUAACACAUGCAAGUCGAACGGCAGCACAGUAAGAGUUUGCUCUUACGGGUGGCGAGUGGCGGACGGGUGAGGAAUACAUCGGCAUCUACUUUUUCGUGGGGGAUAACGUAGGGAAACUUACGCUAAUACCGCAUACGACCUACGGGUGAAAGCAGGGGAUCUUCGGACCUUGCGCGAGUGAAUGAGCCGAUGUCGGAUUAGCUAGUUGGCGGGGUAAAGGCCCACCAAGGCGACGAUCCGUAGCUGGUCUGAGAGGAUGAUCAGCCACACUGGAACUGAGACACGGUCCAGACUCCUACGGGAGGCAGCAGUGGGGAAUAUUGGACAAUGGGCGCAAGCCUGAUCCAGCCAUGCCGCGUGGGUGAAGAAGGCCUUCGGGUUGUAAAGCCCUUUUGUUGGGGAAGAAAAGCAGCAGGUUAAUACCCGGCUGUUCUGACGGUACCCAAAGAAUAAGCACCGGCUAACUUCGUG
This 492-nucleotide ribosomal RNA is filed under the name uncultured bacterium. RNAcentral describes it as "partial 16S ribosomal RNA". It matches the Rfam family "Bacterial small subunit ribosomal RNA", at positions 29 to 507 of the family's 1533-position model. The record is from RNAcentral.